Molecule: ribosomal RNA, 115 nt
Filed under: bacterium
Lineage: Bacteria
Source: RNAcentral
UCCGGCGGUUAUACCGGGAGUGAUCACCCGUUCCCAUCCCGAACACGGUAGUUAAGCCUCCCAGGGCCGAUGGUACUGCGCUCCUUAGGCGUGGGAGAGUAGGUCGCCGCCGAGC